GAUGAACGCUGGCGGCGUGCCUAAUACAUGCAAGUCGAACGAUCAGACGAGGAUCUUGCUCCUCUGACGUUAGCGACGGACGGGUGAGUAACACGUAAAUAACCUACCUAUAAGACUUAAAUAACGUCGAGAAACCGGAGCUAAUACCGGAUAAUAUAUUUAACAGGAUGGUUGAAGAGUGAGAGACGGUUUUUCUGUCACUGAUAGAUGGAUCCUCGCCGCAUUAGCUAGUUGGUAAGGUAACGGCUUACCAAGGCAACGAUGCGUAGCCGACAUGAGAGGGUGAACGGCGACCAUGGAAAUGAGACCCGGUCCAGACUCCUAAGGGCGGCAGCAGUAGGGAAUCUUGAGCAAUGGGCGAAAGCUUGAAGGCGCAACGAGGCGUGAGGGAUGAAGGUUUUAGGCUCUUAAAACUCAGUCAUUUGGGAAGAACAAAUGUGUAAGUAACUAUGCACGUCUUGACGGUACCUAAUAAGAAAGCGACGGCUAACUACGUG
RNAcentral lists this ribosomal RNA (497 nucleotides) under uncultured bacterium. RNAcentral describes it as "partial 16S ribosomal RNA". It matches the Rfam family "Bacterial small subunit ribosomal RNA", at positions 28 to 507 of the family's 1533-position model. The record is from RNAcentral.